Molecule: ribosomal RNA, 330 nt
Filed under: uncultured bacterium
Lineage: Bacteria
Description: bacterial SSU rRNA
Rfam family: Bacterial small subunit ribosomal RNA
Source: RNAcentral
GACGAACGCUGGCGGCGUGCUUAACACAUGCAAGUCGAGCGGUAAGGCCCUUUCGGGGGUACGACGAGCGGCGAACGGGUGAGUAACACGUGGGUGACCUGCCCUUACGCUCUGGGAGUAAAGCCUGGGAAACUAGGGUCUAAUACCGGAUAUGACUCCAUAACGCAUGUUGUGGGGUGGAAAGCCUUGUGCGGCUAGGGAUGGCCCGCGGCCUAUCAGCUUGUUGGUGGGGUGAUGGCCACCAAGGCGACGACGGGUAGCCGGCCUGAGAGGGCGACCGGCCACACUGGGACUGAGACACGGCCCAGACUCCUACGGGAGGGCAGCAGU